This 465-nucleotide ribosomal RNA is filed under the name uncultured bacterium. RNAcentral describes it as "partial 16S ribosomal RNA". It matches the Rfam family "Bacterial small subunit ribosomal RNA", at positions 28 to 507 of the family's 1533-position model. The record is from RNAcentral.
AACGAACGCUGGCGGCAUGCCUAACACAUGCAAGUCGUACGAGAACUCCGUGUCGGGGGUCGCACGGUUGCGUAAGGGGUGGGAACAUGCCCUUAAGUUCGGCAUAACUCUGCGAAAGGGGUGCUAAAAUGGGAUAAAGUCUUCGUACCAACGCUUUAUCGACGUUGGGUGGGGGCGCGUUGGGGCGGUUGGGGGUUAACGUGCGGCCUAACAGCUUGGUGGUGCGGUAGUGGCCUACCGAGGCGGCGACGGGUAGCUGGCCCGAGAGGGUGACCGGCCACAGUGGGACUGAGAUACGGCCCAGACUCCUACUCGUGGCAGAAGUGGGGAAUAGUGCUCAAGGGGCGCAAGCCUGAUGCUGCAACGCCGCGUGCGGGAGGACGGUCUUCGGGUUGGAAACCGAUUUCAGCAUGGACGAAGCUUUUUGUGACGGUACCUGCAGAAGAAGCACCGGCUAACUACGUG